GGCUCGGUAGCUCAGUGGUAGAGCGGGGGACUCAUAAGCCCUAGGUCGUAGGUUCGAAUCCUACCCGAGUCA
This 72-nucleotide transfer RNA is filed under the name Vulcanimicrobiaceae bacterium. RNAcentral describes it as "tRNA-Met". It matches the Rfam family "tRNA". Rfam says of the family: Transfer RNA (tRNA) molecules are approximately 80 nucleotides in length. Their secondary structure includes four short double-helical elements and three loops (D, anti-codon, and T loops). The record is from RNAcentral. RNAcentral also lists the same sequence under 1 other name. Lineage: Bacteria; Bacillati; Vulcanimicrobiota; Vulcanimicrobiia; Vulcanimicrobiales; Vulcanimicrobiaceae.